UACGUAGGGCGCAAGCGUUAUCCGGAAUUAUUGGGCGUAAAGAGCUCGUAGGCGGUUUGUCGCGUCUGCCGUGAAAGUCCGGGGCUCAACUCCGGAUCUGCGGUGGGUACGGGCAGACUAGAGUGAUGUAGGGGAGACUGGAAUUCCUGGUGUAGCGGUGAAAUGCGCAGAUAUCAGGAGGAACACCUAUGGCGAAGGCAGCUCGCUGGGACGGUACUGACGCUGAGACGCGAAAGCGUGGGGAGCGAACAGG
RNAcentral lists this ribosomal RNA (253 nucleotides) under uncultured bacterium. RNAcentral's name for it is "partial 16S ribosomal RNA". It matches the Rfam family "Bacterial small subunit ribosomal RNA", at positions 524 to 776 of the family's 1533-position model. The record is from RNAcentral.